RNAcentral lists this ribosomal RNA (112 nucleotides) under Caerostris extrusa. Lineage: Eukaryota; Metazoa; Arthropoda; Arachnida; Araneae; Araneidae. The record is from RNAcentral.
AACGGCCAUACCAUGCUGAAUAUACCGGUUCUCGUUAGAUCACCGAAGUCAAGCAUCAUUGGGCGCGGUCAGUACUUGGGAGGGUGGCCACCUGGGAACACCGCGUGCCGUU